UGAUGGUAUGAUCACCAGUCAAGAACUCUAGGAGCAGACAAUGGUCUGUAAUGUACAAAUGGGUGUCAACGACUGACAUUGUGUUUUCUAAUUAAUAAUGUAGUUUCAUGAAACGUCAUAAAAGUAUGGAACCUUUGAUCUAAUCGUCUCGACUGAGUGCAGCUGCUAACUUUGAUUGGAUGUGGUCUACUCCAGCACGCGGGGAAAAUCUAGGAAUGACUUCCUGCAAUCGACGUCAUGGAGUGAAAUGGAAUGAGGGGUGGGAGAAGAGAGAGAAAAGGCAGUAUUAAGUUUUUCUUUAAGGCCGUCGCACAAACAGCAGCCGGGCUUUGAGUAAAGAAUCAACUGUUUCCUCCUUGAUGCGGAUGAAGAUGAGUAGUUGCAGGCGGUAAUGUUCAGUUUUCGGGUGAAGUUUAUUAUGGUUGCUGGUGAUGUUCGUCUUGUUGCUGGUAGCAGCACAAUCGCGGAGGC
This 471-nucleotide long non-coding RNA is filed under the name Helianthus annuus (common sunflower). Its description in RNAcentral is "hypothetical non coding rna". Lineage: Eukaryota; Viridiplantae; Streptophyta; Magnoliopsida; Asterales; Asteraceae. The record is from RNAcentral.